UCAGAACGAACGCUGGCGGCGUGCUUAACACAUGCAAGUCGAACGCGAAAGGGACUUCGGUCCUGAGUAAAGUGGCGCACGGGUGAGUAACGCGUAGAUAACCUGUCUUCAUGUCUGGAAUAAUACGCCGAAAGGGGUACUAAUACCGGAUAUUCUUGCUUUUCAUAAGUUAUGCAAGCAAAGGUGGCCUCUGCAUAUGCUACUGCAUGAAGAGGGGUCUGCGUACCAUUAGCUAGUAGGUGGGGUAAUGGCCUACCUAGGCGACGAUGGUUAGCGGGUCUGAGGGGAUGAUCCGCCACACUGGCACUGGAACACGGGCCAGACUCCUACGGGAGGCAGCAGUGAGGAAUAUUGCGCAAUGGGGGAAACCCUGACGCAGCGACGCCGCGUGAGUGAGGAAGGCCUUCGGGUCGUAAAGCUCUGUCAAGAGGAAAGAAGUGUACAAUGGCUAAUACCUGUUGUAUUUGACGGUACCUCUAAAGGAAGCACCGGCUAACUCCGUGCCAGCCGCCGC
RNAcentral lists this ribosomal RNA (514 nucleotides) under uncultured bacterium. RNAcentral describes it as "bacterial SSU rRNA". It matches the Rfam family "Bacterial small subunit ribosomal RNA", at positions 24 to 518 of the family's 1533-position model. The record is from RNAcentral.